RNAcentral lists this unclassified non-coding RNA (472 nucleotides) under Hevea brasiliensis (rubber tree). The record is from RNAcentral. Lineage: Eukaryota; Viridiplantae; Streptophyta; Magnoliopsida; Malpighiales; Euphorbiaceae.
GGUUUCCGAUUAUUCCUCCUUCUCCUCACCACCUCUGUUAUUCGUAGGAAUCUUUGACCCUCUCCUUCGUCUUUCACCGCCAUGUAUACGUCUUAGGAAUGGCUUGCAGGUUUUCUUGGACUGGGAGAUGAAGAAUGAUCCCCUAGGUGUUUUUUUUAACGAAAUUUUUUUAAGGCUAUGGAUCUGAAAGAAUUUGAUAAAUGAAAUUCAAGACAGAUGGUGUAGAUUGUUGCUGGAUCUUGCAAUGGGGUGGAACUUGGAAGAACUGUUUUUCGGCCUAGGAUUUUUUUGAAUGACUUGGGCUUUUGGGCUUUUUCUGGUUUUGGACAAGUUUUAAGCUUGUAGAUAGAAUUUCCUUUGUAUUUGGAUAUGGGUUCAAGCUUUGUUGUGUAAUAUGCUUAGGCCUUUUAUGGACUUUUUAAAUUGAAAUCUUUUUUUUUUUCAAAAAUAAAGAUUUCAAUUUAAAAAGUCC